GACGAACGCUGGCGGCGCGCCUAACACAUGCAAGUCGAACGAGCGAGAGAGAGCUUGCUUUCUCGAGCGAGUGGCGAACGGGUGAGUAACGCGUGAGGAACCUGCCUCAAAGAGGGGGACAACAGUUGGAAACGACUGCUAACACCGCAUAAGCCCACGGGUCGGCAUCGACCAGAGGGAAAAGGAGCAAUCCGCUUUGAGAUGGCCUCGCGUCCGAUUAGCUAGUUGGUGAGGUAAUGGCCCACCAAGGCGACGAUCGGUAGCCGGACUGAGAGGGUGAACGGCCACAUUGGGACUGAGACACGGCCCAGACUCCUACGGGAGGCAGCAGUGGGGAAUAUUGCACAAUGGGGGAAACCCUGAUGCAGCGACGCCGCGUGGAGGAAGAAGGUCUUCGGAUUGUAAACUCCUGUUGUUGGGGAAGAUAAUGACGGUACCCAACAAGGAAGUGACGGCUAACUACGUG
Molecule: ribosomal RNA, 466 nt
Filed under: uncultured bacterium
Lineage: Bacteria
Description: partial 16S ribosomal RNA
Rfam family: Bacterial small subunit ribosomal RNA
Source: RNAcentral